This 355-nucleotide ribosomal RNA is filed under the name uncultured organism. RNAcentral describes it as "eukaryotic LSU rRNA". The stretch from base 1 to 131 matches the Rfam family "5.8S ribosomal RNA", at positions 24 to 154 of the family's 154-position model. The record is from RNAcentral.
GUUCUGGCAUCGAUGAAGAACGCAGCGAAAUGCGAUAAGUAGUGUGAAUUGCAGAAUUCAGUGAAUCAUUGAAUCUUUGAACGCACAUUGCGCCCUUUGGUAUUCCAAAGGGCAUGCCUGUUCGAGCGUCAUUUGUACCCUCAAGCUUUGCUUGGUGUUGGGCGUCUUGUCUCUAGCUUUGCUGGAGACUCGCCUUAAAGUAAUUGGCAGCCGGCCUACUGGUUUCGGAGCGCAGCACAAGUCGCACUCUCUAUCAGCAAAGGUCUAGCAUCCAUUAAGCCUUUUUUUUCAACUUUUGACCUCGGAUCAGGUAGGGAUACCCGCUGAACUUAAGCAUAUCAAUAAGCGGAGGAAC